AUCUGCUCAAUGAAUAUUAAAUAGCCGCAACUAUGUUGUGCUAAGGUAGCAUAAUCAUUUGUCUUUUAAUUAAAGACUAGAACGAAAGAUUAAACACUUUUACUUCUAUAUCAAAUACAAUAACCUUAACUUAUUCUAAAUAUUAAAAAAUAUUUAUUCCUAAAAAAGACGACAAGACCCUAUUGAACUUAACUUAAGUUAAACUGGGGUAGUUAAUUAAAUAUAAUUUUAAUUUAAAUAAAUUAAAAAAAAUCUAAUCCAAUUAAAACAAUCAAGUUACCAUAGGGAUAACAGCGUAAUAAUUUUUACAAGAUCUUAUUUAAAAAAUAGUUUGCGACCUCGAUGUUGAAUUAAUAACCUAUUGAAUGCAAUAAUUCAAACUCUCAUAAGGAAGUCUGUUCGACUUUUAAAAAAUUAC
Molecule: ribosomal RNA, 418 nt
Filed under: Textrix denticulata
Lineage: Eukaryota; Metazoa; Arthropoda; Arachnida; Araneae; Agelenidae
Description: partial 16S ribosomal RNA
Rfam family: Bacterial large subunit ribosomal RNA
Source: RNAcentral